Molecule: long non-coding RNA, 615 nt
Organism: Haliotis rubra (blacklip abalone)
Lineage: Eukaryota; Metazoa; Mollusca; Gastropoda; Lepetellida; Haliotidae
Exons: 3
Source: RefSeq, a predicted model, not a curated record
CCCACAUUUCCUGAACAACUUGUCAUGGACCAACACUACUGAACAAUGUUUGACCAUAUUCCAAACAUUACCAUGUAUAAAUGAUUAAAUAAAACUGAACAACAAGAUCGUGAUCCAGGGUGCCGUUGUACAAAGCAACCUUGGCGUUACGCCAGUUGUAAGUCUAUGUUAAGGUAUGGGAGCUAAGAUCACCUUAGCACUAAGAUCGCUUUGUAGAACGGCACCCUGAACCACAAACUCCGAUUGAUAGAUAAUAUCAGGGUUCUACCGUGACUUACAAAACUAAGGGUCCUGACAACUCUCAAUAAUUAAAAUCAAGGGUAAAUACAGGAAAUAUCAGGGUCCGGUUAUGAAACAGAGUAGUGUACUGUAUUGUAAGACUAAAUAAAAGCUAAAAUUACAGGAACUGUAUAAUUUGUGUAAGGAAUGUUCACAAGUUCCUACCAGUGUUCCUACGAGCGAACACUUUAACCACUAGGCUACCCCACAGCCCCUAAACCAACAUGAAGUUACCAUGACAAGGUUGACCAGUGUUCCUACGAGCGAACACUUUAACCACUAGGCUACCCCACAGCCCCUAAACCAACAUGAAGUUACCAUGACAAGGUUGACCAG